This 253-nucleotide ribosomal RNA is filed under the name uncultured bacterium. Its description in RNAcentral is "partial 16S ribosomal RNA". It matches the Rfam family "Bacterial small subunit ribosomal RNA", at positions 524 to 776 of the family's 1533-position model. The record is from RNAcentral.
UACGGAGGGGGCUAGCGUUGUUCGGAAUCACUGGGCGUAAAGCGCACGUAGGCGGACUCUUAAGUCGGGGGUGAAAUCCUGGAGCUCAACUCCAGAACUGCCUUCGAUACUGGGAGUCUUGAGUUCGGGAGAGGUGAGUGGAACUGCGAGUGUAGAGGUGAAAUUCGUAGAUAUUCGCAAGAACACCAGUGGCGAAGGCGGCUCACUGGCCCGAUACUGACGCUGAGGCACGAAAGCGUGGGGAGCAAACAGG